This is a non-coding RNA of Pantherophis guttatus, 1340 nucleotides long. The record is from RefSeq and is a predicted model, not a curated record. NCBI's taxonomy places the organism in Eukaryota, Metazoa, Chordata, Lepidosauria, Squamata, Colubridae.
UGACCGGAGACAAUGGUGGGCAUUCUAGAAUUCCUAUAGAACAAUAAGGAGAUUCAGAAGACCAAACCAGUGCUCUGAGAAAAAGUAAAGGUUUUUUCCCUGUUCAUUUGUUUCCAACUCUAGGGGGAUGUGCUCGUCUCCGUCUCCUAGCUGAGGGAGCCAGGGUUGUCUGAGGACACUUUCUGGGAUCAUGUGGUCAGCACUGACUUCUCACUGAAAUGAAAUACACCACUGUUUAAAAGAGGCAGCACAAGAUUUAUAGGGUGUGAUACCCUGCAUAGUACUCUAUUAGGAAGACCAGAAUUUAGGCUUUUCCCAGAAUGGACUGAUUGAAAUUCAAGUUGAGAGCUCAAAACGAAACUGAAAGUAAAACAGGCUGUUGGCUUUGCUGUUUGCUUGCAACGUUGGAAAAUUAGGCAGCAGAUUUAUUUUCCUUUUCCUCACCAAAAAAGCCCGCCAGUAUGAAUUCAACAUCUGGUGACCCCGACGUGAUUACCCUGCUUGGUGCUAUAUGUCUCUUGGUAAUUUCAUACUCAUUCGGCUGGAAGAAGCCUCUGCAAACCAGGGCCGGUCGUCUGCGGACGAAGCACCCUCCCAUAAAUCGUGAGUAUGGACGCAGAAUUGCCAGGUACCCCGACAUGAUAGCCCUUGAGGCUAUACGUCUCUUGGAACCCCUGUUCUCACCGCCUGGAAGAGGCUGUGCACCACGAUUUAGCCUGAAACACGGCGACAAUCUUUCGUGAGUAUGGGGGGGAGGUCUUUCCAAGCAGCAGACGCAGUAUCUGAGGAGCUUGGUGAGAUAUCCAAGACUAAUAUUAUUGUUUUUAAAAAGAUAACGGGAAAGUCCUGCCCAUGAAAAGAAUUUGAUUUACCUUCUAAAAAACUUUUGGCAAUAAAAGGGCUCUUUAAAAGUGAAUAUGUGGAAGCAGAUGGGAACAUGCCUCCACAAACCUCCCCAGCCCUGAAAAAUUUUUUGCACUCUGGAGAUUAGUUAUAGAGUGUUUUAUGAUACAUUAAAAAAUAAAUAAAUAAAAGCCUUCAGGACACUGUUAAUAGUUCCUUUUCAGACUUUGUUGAGAGAUUGCUCUCACGUUAAAUCACCCACGCAGACGCACGGCAUGAAAUUAAGCAUCAGCUCAUUCUGAAGGAGUCAGUUACACCCCCAUUAAGCAGAAUUUAAAGGAACAGUUAGACAAAAAAGGGGGGAUGGAUAGAAUAAAUUGCUGAAAUGCUUUCAGUGUGUCUGCCGGCUGCAAUUUUGCAAGCUUCUUCUGAAUGUGCUUAACAAGCCUUCAGAAAAAUGCUUGUUUCUGGCAAGCGUCAACAAGCCUUCUCUAACA